GAUGAAGAACGCAGCGAAAUGCGAUAAGUAGUGUGAAUUGCAGAAUUCAGAGAAUCAUCGACUCUUUGAACGCACAUUGCGCCCUUUGGUAUUCCAAAGGGCAUGCCUGUUCGAGCGUCAUUUGUACCCUCAAGCUUUGCUUGGUGUUGGGCGUCUUGUCUCUAGCUUUGCUGGAGACUCGCCUUAAAGUAAUUGGCAGCCGGCCUACUGGUUUCGGAGCGCAGCACAAGUCGCACUCUCUAUCAGCAAAGGUCUAGCAUCCAUUAAGCCUUUUUUUCAACUUUUGACCUCGGAUCAGGUAGGGAUACCCGCUGAACUUAAGCAUAUCAAUAAGCGGAGGA
RNAcentral lists this unclassified non-coding RNA (341 nucleotides) under soil metagenome. RNAcentral's name for it is "partial contains 5.8S ribosomal RNA, internal transcribed spacer 2, and large subunit ribosomal RNA". The stretch from base 1 to 120 matches the Rfam family "5.8S ribosomal RNA", at positions 35 to 154 of the family's 154-position model. The record is from RNAcentral.